AUAGUUUUGCACUUCUAGGGAAGAAGAAAUCAAGCAAUUUGACAUUACCACCCAAAUAUAACCAGCCAUUCUUUGUUACUUCCUUACCUGAUGAUAAGUAAGUGAUAACAUUGCUUAUACUUACUGCCCAUCGUAUACACUGUAGUCCUUUUAAUGUCAGUUUAUGACAUCUAGGCUAAAUUUAGAGGAUGUAGUCAUUUUUUUUUUGGCUGAAGUAUUUCUUCCUUUGAUUUUUGAAGUCUUAGCUAUGGGAAUGAAUUCAGUGUGGAAUUGUUUUCAUGUUUUUCCCCUUACUUGUCUUUGUGAAACUUUCUCUUUUGUUGCUUUUUUUCUCUUUGAAUUCUCUUGUUUAGAAUACCUAAAGGGGCAGGACCUGGAUGCUAUCUUGCAGGAUCCUUAACAUUGUCAAAGACUGAACUAGGAAAGAAAGCUGAUGUAAUCCCUGUUCAUUACUACUUAAUACCUCCACCAACAAAGACUAAGAAUGGCAGCAAAGAUAAGG
This 502-nucleotide long non-coding RNA is filed under the name Homo sapiens (human). Its description in RNAcentral is "long non-coding RNA NONHSAT035004.2". Lineage: Eukaryota; Metazoa; Chordata; Mammalia; Primates; Hominidae. The record is from RNAcentral.